UGCAUUAAUUAUUCUGACCACAGCCGAGUGGCUACCGCAAACUGCAUGAUAACACUGCCUAAAACUAGUCGAUUCAUGACCACGGUCACCUUCUGUAUAGUAUUUGGCUGUUCGAAGGCAGGAAAGACAAGGAAUAUAUAUAUAUAUAUAUAUAUUACAGAUUCCCCCCAAUCGUGAAACACCAUUAGUGACACCAAGAUAAGACUCAAGAACUGUCUGAAAAGCAAAUAAGUAUUUUUGCCCGUCAAGACCUGAACCCAGACAGCUGUCAAGUAACCGGUCAUUUCAUCACUGGUUCACCAGCUGACCUCUAUCAAGACACCCAUGUCAACUGGAUUCCCACUGUGAAGAUGAGCAAUGCUGCAGCGGCAUCAGUUUGUACUUCGUCCUUUUCCAGUUAUAAAAGGAGACAUCCCUCAGUUAUACGAGAUGGUCAUAUGCUGUGCUUUGGUCAAUCUGAACGAUUCUGUUGUGCACAUAGUCACCUUGUCAUGAUGACAAAAGUGCCCCCUUAAACCAUAUGAAUAUAUACAAUUUAAUUUGGAAUGUGUAAAAGACUAUUGCUUAUGAUAACAUACUGUGCUUUAAUAGACUAUUGUUUAUAUGGGUGAAAUUAAAAGUAUUGUCAUCUCUG
Molecule: long non-coding RNA, 634 nt
Organism: Salmo salar (Atlantic salmon)
Lineage: Eukaryota; Metazoa; Chordata; Actinopteri; Salmoniformes; Salmonidae
Source: RefSeq, a predicted model, not a curated record